Molecule: long non-coding RNA, 1538 nt
Organism: Lepisosteus oculatus (spotted gar)
Lineage: Eukaryota; Metazoa; Chordata; Actinopteri; Semionotiformes; Lepisosteidae
Source: RefSeq, a predicted model, not a curated record
AUGGAAUUCAGUUUGGUGUUUCUAGAACCCUAUUCGACCUCAACACACAAUAGAAUGCCUGAAAUCUUUUGUUUGCACCCAGACUGUGAAGUACAAAACUAAUAGAGGCAUUAUCCUGAAUGUAACAGGCCACAAAAGUUGCCCUUUGAACCAAGCCAGUGGAGAAAAUCACUUUGUCAUUGAUUGCAAUGAAUUGGAGCUCUGCUCUGGGACAACAUUUUUGCAAGCUUUUAUUAACCGUGUCUGGGAUGGAACUGGAGCACCAGUCUGGAAAACAACAAUAAAAACAUUGAGGGCGAGCUAAGAAGACAGGUAAUGGUUUUCCAUUGCAGAUGAAAUCCCCAUCAAACUCAAGAAAAUUCUGUUGCAGACUAACUCAUUGGAGCCCCCCCUGACCACAUCAAGCAGGGGCAGGGGAAAUGAAAAGAGGCCUUGAGUCAGCCCACAGCCUGCCACAGUGCUACCUUGGCCUCCCAGGCCUGGAUCCUAAUACCUUUGCUGUGAGUCAACCACAAGAUCAUGAGACAGCAGCCCUGGAAGCCCAUGCUCUCUUUUUACAAGCAGAACGAGAUCCAGACGUUUUAGUUCUCUCUACUCACACAGGUGUGUGAGGGCACUUCUGCGGGAGUCUCAAGACACGAGAUACAGUGGGCUACCAGCUCAGAAACAUUUGACCAAAAUUAGAGGACUAGUUUGAAACAUUGAAAAACAAUAAAAGGGCAGGUGGGUACAGCAGCAAGGGUCCUUUCAGGUGAGGAGCUGAAAGCGAAAACUGGUUUCUUUGUUAAAGGGAUAAUUUUUGAAAACCUGUUUACGUAAUGGUAAAAAGAGUCAGUCACGCUCUUUCUCUUUGGUAAAGGAGGAUGUUUUAAGUGAAAUGACUACUAGAUCAUGACCAGAGUGUGCCACGUUCCUCUGCUGUGAGAGACAUUUUUUGUAACAAGCACCUUUUUAAAAAAAUAACCAAAAAUGUAACAUAGCAAUAAAAAGCGCUGAGUAAAAUACUGAAAUGGUGAAACUUAAUCUAAAUAUCUUAAUUUGGGGUAAUUUGUGAUUGUGUGCUUGGAUAAGUCUUCUGCAACCCUCAAAAUAUAGAACAAACCCCAAAAAGAUUAAAUAUAAACAUUGUCACAAGCACCAAGAGAGCAAAUUGUUUGCAUCUCAGAUUACAGGUUAAAUUGUUUUCAAUCACAUUAAAUAUGGCAUGCAACAUUGAACAUUUCCAGGCAUAAAACAUAUUUAAAUAGAAUUAUUAGUUUUUAUUCCCAUGCAGUUUUGUUUUUGCUCCAAUGUUCACAAUAAGGUCUAAGUUCUUUUUGUACUUUUAAAUAGAAAUUAUACAGGAAACCCCAGUUCUAUGGCAGAAAAAAAGUCUUGGUUGCCUAGCAACAAGUUCUUUAGAUUAAAUUCAAAACAAGUUAAUGAUCCUAAAAAUGUGAAGCAUGUAUUUGGACCACAUGUUGACAUAUGAGGUUUGGUUUGAACAUAAGCGAUAUCUGAUCUGUCUGCGUCUUUGUUUUUUGCCUUUUCCGUCCUUG